AGUGAACGCUGGCGGUAGGCCUAACACAUGCAAGUCGAACGGCAGCACAGUAAGGGCUUGCUCUUACGGGUGGCGAGUGGCGGACGGGUGAGGAAUACAUCGGAAUCUACUUUUUCGUGGGGGAUAACGUAGGGAAACUUACGCUAAUACCGCAUACGACCUACGGGUGAAAGCAGGGGAUCUUCGGACCUUGCGCGAUUGAAUGAGCCGAUGUCGGAUUAGCUAGUUGGCGGGGUAGAGGCCCACCAAGGCGACGAUCCGUAGCUGGUCUGAGAGGAUGAUCAGCCACACUGGAACUGAGACACGGUCCAGACUCCUACGGGAGGCAGCAGUGGGGAAUAUUGGACAAUGGGCGCAAGCCUGAUCCAGCCAUACCGCGUGGGUGAAGAAGGCCUUCGGGUUGUAAAGCCCUUUUGUUGGGAAAGAAAAGCAGCAGGUUAAUACCCCGCUGUUCUGACGGUACCCAAAGAAUAAGCACCGGCUAACUUCGUG
This 492-nucleotide ribosomal RNA is filed under the name uncultured bacterium. RNAcentral describes it as "partial 16S ribosomal RNA". It matches the Rfam family "Bacterial small subunit ribosomal RNA", at positions 29 to 507 of the family's 1533-position model. The record is from RNAcentral.